GGGAACUGAAACAUCUAAGUACCCCGAGGAAAAGAAAUCAACCGAGAUUCCCCCAGUAGCGGCGAGCGAACGGGGAGCAGCCCAGAGUCAGAAUCAGCUUGUGUGUUAGUGGAACGGUCUGGAAAGUCCGACGGUACAGGGUGAUAGUCCCGUACACCAAAAUGCACAGGUUGUGAACUCGAAGAGUAGGGCGGGACACGUGGUAUCCUGUCUGAAUAUGGGGGGACCAUCCUCCAAGGCUAAAUACUCCUGACUGACCGAUAGUGAACCAGUACCGUGAGGG
RNAcentral lists this ribosomal RNA (283 nucleotides) under Klebsiella pneumoniae. RNAcentral describes it as "partial 23S ribosomal RNA". It matches the Rfam family "Bacterial large subunit ribosomal RNA", at positions 188 to 509 of the family's 2925-position model. The record is from RNAcentral. Lineage: Bacteria; Pseudomonadati; Pseudomonadota; Gammaproteobacteria; Enterobacterales; Enterobacteriaceae.